Danio rerio (zebrafish) is the source of this 701-nucleotide non-coding RNA. NCBI's taxonomy places the organism in Eukaryota, Metazoa, Chordata, Actinopteri, Cypriniformes, Danionidae. The record is from Ensembl.
CUCAUCAUGAUGCAGCGGGACACAGAGAUGCAGUGAUUUUACCCAGCGUCCCAGCAUACGACUCGGUCAGCAUCUUCACAGCCGGUCCUGCCAAUGACACCGACAGCAUCCAGACGGCUCAUCUGGCCUACGAAACAGACAGCAACCGCACAAUAAACCCAGCGUUCGACACGGACAGCACACACACACUCCAUCAGCCCUACACAGCGCACAUGGAAGGAGUCCCGGGGCCUGCUGGAGGUGACGGUCCGGCUGGCAGCAUCUCUCUGAAUCCUCCUCCUUACAGCCCGCCGGACCCAAAAACAGCUUACCUCAUGUUCCCCGCACCGCUACAGCAUUACUCAAACCAACCGGUUAUCGCCUGCCAACCCGCCAAUCCACCCGCUUUCUACCCGCCCUCAUUCCUGCCACCGUCCACCUACCCAUCAUACACCAUAUAUAUGAACGGGCCGCCACCACCGCCGCUGGGAGAAGAGCAGCAGCCGUUACCUAAAGAUUACCUGGUGGAGUCUCUGCUGGUCACCAUCUUCUGCUGCAUCAUGAGCGGACUCUUCGCCGUCAUGUACUCGUAUGAAACCCGUGCGGCGCUGAGCAGAGGCGAUAUCCGAGAAGCAGAGAAAACGUCCCAGAAGGCCCGGCUGCUCGUCAUGUUCAGUCUGAUGUUCGGCGUCUUCAUCUUUGUGGGCUGGAUUGUUUAUGUG